This 255-nucleotide ribosomal RNA is filed under the name uncultured bacterium. RNAcentral describes it as "partial 16S ribosomal RNA". It matches the Rfam family "Bacterial small subunit ribosomal RNA", at positions 524 to 777 of the family's 1533-position model. The record is from RNAcentral.
UACGAAGGGGGCUAGCGUUGCUCGGAAUCACUGGGCGUAAAGGGUGCGUAGGCGGGUCUUUAAGUCAGGGGUGAAAUCCCAGAGCUCAACUCUGGAACUGCCUUUGAUACUGGGUAUCUUGAGUAUGGAAGAGGUAAGUGGAAUUGCGAGUGUAGAGGUGAAAUUCGUAGAUAUUCGCAGGAACACCAGUGGCGAAGGCGGCUUACUGGUCCAUAACUGACGCUGAGGUGCGAAAAGCGUGGGGAGCCAAACGGG